UGUCGCCUGCUACCACUGUCUAGGUCCGAGUGGUUUACUGCACCACGAAGACAGAUUCCAGACGCCAUGAACUCAUGCCCCCAAUCUCAGAUGCUAUGUCCAGCAAAGGCUUUGUGGUUCUGGCCUACAGUGGUGGCCUAGCCACCUCCUGAAUCCUCAGGUGGCUGAAGAAACAAGACAAUGACGUCACUGACUACCUGGCCAGCAUUGGCCAGAAGGAAGACUUUGAGGAAGCCAGGAAGAAGGCACUGAAACUUGGGGCCAAAAAGGUGUUCAUUGAGGAUGUCAGCAGGGGGUUUGUAGAGAAGUUCAUCUGGCCAGCCAUCCAGUUCAGUGCACUGUAUGAGGACUGCUACCUCCUGGGCACCUCUCUCACCAGGCCCUGCAUUCCCUGAAAACAAGUGGAAAUCGUCCAGCGGGAGGGGACCAAGUAUGUGUCCCAUAGCACCACGGGAAAGGGGAUCAAUCAGGUGCAGUUUGAUCUCAACUGCUACUGGCUGGCCCCCCAGAUAAAGGUCAUUGAUCCCUGGAGGAUGCCCGAGUUCUACAACCGGAUCAAGGUCCGAAACGAUCUGAUGGAAUACGCAAAGCAACUCUGGAUUCCCAUCUUGGUGACUCCCAAGAACCUGUGAAGCAUGGACGAGAACCUCAUGCACAUCAGCUACGAGGCUGCAAUCUUGGAGAACCCCAAGAACCAAGCACCUCCAGUUCUCUACAUGAAGACCCAGGAGGCGGCCAGAGCCCCCAACACUCCUGACAUUCUUGAGAUCAAGUUCAAAAAAGGGGUCCCCGUGAAGGUGAACAACAUCAAGGAUGGCAUCACCCAUCAGACCUCCUUGGAGCUCUUUAUGUACCUGAACGAAGUCUCGGGCAAGCAGGGUGUGGGCCGUAUUGACAUCAUGGAGAACCACUUCAUUGGAAUGAAGUCCCGAGCUAUCUACCAGAUCCCAGCAAGCACCGUCUUUUACCACACUCAUUUAGACAUCGGGGCCUUCGCCAUGGACCAGGAAGUGUGCAAAAUCAGACAAGACCUGGGAUGGAAAUUUGCUGAGCUGGUGCACACCAGUUUCUGGCACAGCCCUAAGUGUGAAUUUGUCCACCACUGCUUCGCCAAGUCCCAGGAGCGAAUGAAAGGGAAAGUGCAGCUGUCUGUCUUCAAGGGCCAGGUGUACAUACUCUGGUGGGAGUCCCCAAUGUCUCUCUACAACCAGGAGCUGAUGAGCAUGAACGCGCAGGGUGACUAGGAGCCAAUCAAUGCCACCAAGUUCAUCAACAUUAAUGCCCUCAGGCUGAAGGAAUAUCAUCAUCUCGAGAGCAAGGUCACUGCCAAAUAG
Callithrix jacchus (white-tufted-ear marmoset) is the source of this 1334-nucleotide non-coding RNA. NCBI's taxonomy places the organism in Eukaryota, Metazoa, Chordata, Mammalia, Primates, Cebidae. The record is from RefSeq and is a predicted model, not a curated record.